GACAGUGUGGCGUAGUGGCUUGAGUGUUGGACUAUGAACCUGGAGACCGGGGUCUGAAUCCCUGCUCAGCCA
This is a non-coding RNA of Phrynosoma platyrhinos (Desert horned lizard), 72 nucleotides long. The record is from the annotation of a GenBank genome assembly. Lineage: Eukaryota; Metazoa; Chordata; Lepidosauria; Squamata; Phrynosomatidae.